CAAUCACCCGCGUCUCGCGGCUCUCACCCUACCCCAUCCACCAAACGAGGAACCCUAGCUCCCUUUCUCCUUCCCCUCGACCCCCACGAGCCGCCGCACCCCUCCCUCUCCCUUCCGUGCGUGUGCUCGGCCAAGGACGCCGCCGUCGCCCUCGGCUCCUCCUCCAGCACCUCACCUUUUUCUCCUCCUCGCCUUCCCAACGCUCACGCGCAUGUCGCCGCCGUCGGAGAACAGGACAGUGCGGGUCGCUUCCUCCUUUUCCUCCCGCCGGAUCUAAGGCGUGCGGCCGUGGAGGCGAGCCUCUCCGGUGGCGGCGGCAAAGGGCGACCACAUGGAUCGGUCCCUGCAGGAGAGAGAAGAUGGGAGAGAGGGAGAGAAGGAAGGAGAGGAGGGAGGCCCUGCGGCGGACGGGAGAGGGUCACCGACCGCGACGAGGUCAGGUACGACCUGGUGGUUGGUGGCGGCUCGAUCCACUCCUGGAUCCUUCUUCUUCCACUUCCCCACUGCCUAACACCAAGGAAGAGGGCUGGCCGAGGAAGAGGGCGAGGACGCGGGGAUUGAAGAGGGUGUUCCUGCGUUCAUCGCCUGGCCAAGGACGAGGACGACAACGUGGGGUGGAGCAUGUCAUCCCUCUGGUUAUCACCUCCUUUCUGCUACUGGGCUGAGAUGAGGGUUUUCUCCACCGAUUGUGGUGGCCUGAGUCAGAGAUCGACAGCCAGAUGCUUGUGGCUACCACACAAAACGUGCUCUCUUGCUGACCUCGAGGUCCAGACGCAAUGGAUCGUCUCCAAGGUGUUUCUCCGACCAGCAACAACAAAACUCCGCACUUUCUCAAUUGCGCUGUGAUUGGUUCAUGUCCACCAAGGCCGUUGCGUUGGUCGCGGUACUCUGCUUCCUUUGGGUUUGCUUGCUGUCGAGGAAGAAGAAAGGUGUGAACUAUGUGAAAAUGGACAAACCCACUGUCCCAGAUGGUAAUGAAAAAACUGACACCAACUAGCUCACUCUAUAAAUUUUGUCUAGGCUCAAGCUAACUACAUAUCUGCACCACGAUUGCUCACUGGGGAUAUAGAUGUAUGCCUAACAUCAGGUGUGUAGGUUAUAGGAGAUACAAGGAGAGAUAUUUCAGUUGCAAUCGAGCUUUCUUUCAAAGUGAAACAUGGUAGAAAUGCAUAGCAUGCAAGAUGUUUUACUCUACAGUUCUGGGACGCUAUGGUGUCAAUUUUGAACUUGCAAAAUGAACUGUAAAAUAUUUUAAUGCCUUGGGGAAUGAAGUUCUCUUUACCUGCUCUCACUACUUCAUAUCUGUUUAUUUAGCAUGUUCUACGAUCUCCUUUGCUGCAUCUUGAUCUUCGGCUUUGCUAUAACUCUUUUUUAAGGGAUUGCUAUAACUCUAUUUUGGUGCUUGAGGUUUGCUUCCUUUUUUGUAGCCACAUGCGUAUUCUUUCUAGCUACAUGCAUGUUUUCAUUUUGCUCACGGAAUAGUUUAGUUAUAUUCAUUAGUAGCAUCUCUAUGUUAUUAGAUACAAACAUAAUAUGCUUCUUUAGUGAGGCCUUCUCUUCUUUUUUUUGUGAGAAGUGUGCCUUCUCUAAUCUGGCAAUUAUCUUAUUCGUUGUUGCAUAACUAAACUGUAAAAUAUUUUAAUGCCUCUGAACAUAGCCUAAUUUAUCCACAAAAAGAGUUGCCGUGUUUGUUUCUGCUGCCAAGUUGUGCAUCAGCAGGGAACUCAUUCUUCCAGUAGGCUGGAACUGUUGCAUUUGUUUUUGCUGCCAAGUUGUGCAUCAGUGGUUGAGCUCAUUUUUCCAGUAGGCUUGAACUGUCGCGUUUGUUUCUGCUGCCAAGUUGUGCAUCAAUAGUCGAGAUCAUUUUUCUGCUAUUUCUCAGGGACAACCAAGAUCAUGAAUCUGGACUCCGGCUUCCGUGGUAUUUCUGUGUGCCUCGACUUUGGCUCCAUGCUUAUUCAUUAAUUUAGCGAGAUUUAGUACUUCGAAAGUUGUAGCAUGAGUUUUUGGCCAAGACGGCACAUAUGAAAAGUUAGCCAAGGAUGUACGAAAUCUUAUAUUUGUAUUUUCACAUUUUGGAUUCACCAUGUCCAAAUGCAAGCUACAUUUUGUCUAUUUCUUAAAUUUAAUAUGUUCAAUUCUUGCAUGAA
This is an RNA transcript of Triticum aestivum (bread wheat), 2150 nucleotides long. RefSeq lists it as uncharacterized. The transcript is spliced from 4 exons. The record is from RefSeq and is a predicted model, not a curated record. Lineage: Eukaryota; Viridiplantae; Streptophyta; Magnoliopsida; Poales; Poaceae.